UGUGGUGUGUGUGUGUGUGUGUGUGUGUGUGUUUGUGUGUGUGUGUGUAAUGCUGCAUGUAUUUGGGGCGUGUAUUUGAGAUUCAUUUGGAAAACAAGUCAACAUUUGGGAUGUUUC
Salarias fasciatus (jewelled blenny) is the source of this 117-nucleotide long non-coding RNA. RefSeq lists it as uncharacterized. The transcript has 3 exons. The record is from RefSeq and is a predicted model, not a curated record. Lineage: Eukaryota; Metazoa; Chordata; Actinopteri; Blenniiformes; Blenniidae.